RNAcentral lists this unclassified non-coding RNA (848 nucleotides) under Hevea brasiliensis (rubber tree). The record is from RNAcentral. Lineage: Eukaryota; Viridiplantae; Streptophyta; Magnoliopsida; Malpighiales; Euphorbiaceae.
UGCACAGCGAAAGGGGUGGAUUUUGUGUGUUUUUAGGAGGAAGGUGUGGCAUCUUAGGUUGCAUUGUCGGGAUUAGGGGUAGAAUGAGAGGGUUGGUGAAAAGGAGAACUAGGGUUCGUAUCGAGAAUUUGGGGAUUUGGGGUCAAAAUGGGAACUUCGGGUGUAGCAUUGGGUGGUGUGGAAUUUGGUGUUGAGGUCGAAGAAUUACUGUUUCUAGGCAUUUUUAGGGCUCAAAGUUUGGGUAUGUGGGCGGAAGGUUGUUUAGUGUGCAUCAUGGAAGGUAUAGUGAAGGUUUUUGAUCGUGCAACUGAUGAGAUAAAAUAGAAUAAGAUAGCAAGGGUAAAGGUUUAAGUGGUGAUAUACUUAGGGUCUAACAUGAGGCAUGUUGGGAAUAGUUGUAGGGUGACAUGCCUCAUGUGGUUUGGUGAAAGAUGAAUGACAUGAGGCAUGUUAGGAUAAAAGGGAAAAAUGACAUGCCCCGCGUGAUUAUAGUGAGUUUUACAUGAGGUGCUACAUGAGGCAUGCGAAACCCCUUGAAACUCUCAGCAGGUUUUUCAUAUUUAGCAAUUUAAAGCGCUAAGAACAGGUUUUGAUGAUGACACUACCCCCAACAUACAUCAUGUUGAACUUAGUGCUAAAUGACCUGAUGUACAACUCAAAAAUGUGAUCCUAAACACACUUAAACCUAACCUAAGACAUAAUUUGCAUAAAAAUUUCACUCAAAAUCCAAUUAAAACCCAAUUAAUCACUAAGAACAAUUAAAAUUCAUCAAUCCACGAAACACAAACUAAAACAUUACUCAACUACUAUUCACAUUAACAGUCACACCAUAAGGAAUAACACCUAAA